CAAGGCUUGACAUGGCCUCAAAAGCCGCAGAGAUGCGGUGUCCGCAAGGGGGGGUCACAGGUGGUGCAUGGCUGUCGUCAGCUCGUGUCGUGAGAUGUUGGGUUAAGUCCCGCAACGAGCGCAACCCUCGUCCUAUGUUGCCAGCGGGUAAUGCCGGGGACUCAUGGGAGACUGCCGGGGUCAACUCGGAGGAAGGUGGGGAUGACGUCAAGUCAUCAUGCCCCUUAUGUCUUGGGCUGCAAACAUGCUACAAUGGCCGGUACAAAGGGCUGCGAUGCCGUGAGGCGGAGCGAAUCCCGGAAAGCCGGUCUCAGUUCGGAUCGGGGUCUGCAACUCGACCCCGUGAAGUCGGAGUCGCUAGUAAUCGCGAAUCAGCAAUGUCGCGGUGAACACGUUCCC
Molecule: ribosomal RNA, 399 nt
Filed under: uncultured Actinomycetes bacterium
Lineage: Bacteria; Bacillati; Actinomycetota; Actinomycetes
Description: bacterial SSU rRNA
Rfam family: Bacterial small subunit ribosomal RNA
Source: RNAcentral